Molecule: ribosomal RNA, 400 nt
Filed under: uncultured bacterium
Lineage: Bacteria
Description: bacterial SSU rRNA
Rfam family: Bacterial small subunit ribosomal RNA
Source: RNAcentral
UGGGGAAUAUUGGACAAUGGGCGCAAGCCUGAUCCAGCAAUGCCGCGUGAGUGAAGAAGGCCUUAGGGUUGUAAAGCUCUUUCGGCGGGGACGCUGAUGACGGUACCCGCAGAAGAAGCCCCGGCUAACUCCGUGCCAGCAGCCGCGGUAAUACAGAGGGUGCGAGCGUUAAUCGGAAUUACUGGGCGUAAAGCGCGCGUAGGCGGCUUUGCAAGUCGGGUGUGAAAUCCCCAGGCUUAACCUGGGAACUGCAUUCGAGACUGCAUUGCUAGAGUAUGGGAGAGGGAAGUGGAAUUUCCGGUGUAGCGGUGAAAUGCGUAGAUAUCGGAAGGAACAUCAGUGGCGAAAGCGACUUCCUGGACCAAUACUGACGCUCAUGUGCGAAAGCGUGGGGAGCAAA